RNAcentral lists this ribosomal RNA (301 nucleotides) under uncultured bacterium. RNAcentral describes it as "partial 16S ribosomal RNA". It matches the Rfam family "Bacterial small subunit ribosomal RNA", at positions 509 to 807 of the family's 1533-position model. The record is from RNAcentral.
CAGUCGCCACGGUAAAACGGAGGGUGCAAGCGUUAAUCGGAAUUACUGGGCGUAAAGCGCACGCAGGCGGUCUGACAAGUCAGAUGUGAAAUCCCCGGGCUUAACCUGGGAACUGCAUUUGAAACUGUCAGGCUGGAGUCUUGUAGAGGGGGGUAGAAUUCCAGGUGUAGCGGUGAAAUGCGUAGAGAUCUGGAGGAAUACCGGUGGCGAAGGCGGCCCCCUGGACAAAGACUGACGCUCAGGUGCGAAAGCGUGGGGAGCAAACAGGAUUAGAUACCCCUGUAGUCCCUGUCUCUUAUAC